UCUUGCCUCUUGAGGAAAAUAAGAUUUAAUUUGAAUUGCUUAGGGUGGGGCACUGAAAUUUUUACACCCAGUUGCUUAAAAAUUAAACUCUUGAACAGAUGUCCCACUUGCAUCUUGGUAUGCUGGUCCUACUUGGGUACCUAGACAAUUGGCUUGAAAACUUUAGCCUGGAGGGAGAAAAGGGGAAUGAACACUGCCAUUCUGCUCGAAGUAAUUAAAAGCAAUAUUUUCUUUUUUUCCUCAAGUGCUACUCCCAAGUACAGGUGAGUUACGAAACGGAUUUCAAAAUUUGUCUAUAAAAAUAAUCACUUGGUGCUUGCCUUUAAUUGUUAGGCUUUUUGGCUAAUUUCCAGCAUAUUGCUCAGGGCAUAUUAUGCCUUAAUAAAACAGUGGGUUCAUGCAAGAAAAGCAGCAGUGGUAUUUGGAGGGUGGAAAUUGAUUCAAGAAAGUGUUGCUUCUAAGUUUAUAGGAGAAAGUUUAGUGUUACACUUAUUUGCUUCCACCUAAAUUUUCAGCAGAAACGCUUUGGAAGCAAUUAUGAUUCAUUUUAUGAGAAAAUGGCACGUUAGCACCUUGUUCCCUAAAGAACAAAGCCUAAACUGAAUGAAGUAUAGUAGAUUUCCUUCUGAAUGCAUACUUGUUUUUGUUUUUCUUUUUCUUUUUUCUUUUUUUUUUUUAAUUCAGCUGUCUACCAUUUUAACUUUGGCUUGUAUGUACUCUAGUUGCCCUGGUAUUUCUCUAUAGCUUUAGAAAUGUAUUGAAACUAUGCUAUAAUUGCUGAGGGACAAAAAUAAAUGGAUGUAAAACAAGAUCCUCCACACCAGUGUCAUUCUUGGAGUACAUGUGUUUGAAGUCUAGUGCAUAACUGCUUUGCUAAGGGGUUUUUAUAACAUGGCUGUAAAAACCUGUUCUGAGACGCAUGAUGUCUUGGCCAUAGAGUCAAUGUCUCUUUUUAAUAAAUAUAUAUAUAUUUAAAUCCAA
Balearica regulorum gibbericeps (East African grey crowned-crane) is the source of this 981-nucleotide non-coding RNA. Lineage: Eukaryota; Metazoa; Chordata; Aves; Gruiformes; Gruidae. The record is from RefSeq and is a predicted model, not a curated record.